This 493-nucleotide ribosomal RNA is filed under the name uncultured bacterium. RNAcentral's name for it is "partial 16S ribosomal RNA". It matches the Rfam family "Bacterial small subunit ribosomal RNA", at positions 28 to 507 of the family's 1533-position model. The record is from RNAcentral.
GACGAACGCUGGCGGCGUGCUUAACACAUGCAAGUCGAACGGUGAAGGGACCGGUUUUUGCUGGUUCUGGAUGAGUGGCGAACGGGUGAGUAACACGUGAGUAACCUGCCCCCUUCUUCUGGAUAACCGCAUGAAAGUGUGGCUAAUACGGGAUAUUCUGCGCCUGCUGCAUGGUGGGGGUGGGAAAGAUAUUGUUUCGGUGGGGGAUGGGCUCGCGGCCUAUCAGCUUGUUGGUGGGGUGAUGGCCUACCAAGGCGGUGACGGGUAGCCGGCCUGAGAGGGUGGACGGUCACACUGGGACUGAGACACGGCCCAGACUCCUACGGGAGGCAGCAGUGGGGAAUAUUGCACAAUGGGCGCAAGCCUGAUGCAGCGACGCCGCGUGAGGGAUGGAGGCCUUCGGGUUGUAAACCUCUUUCGCCAGUGAAGCAGGCCUGUCCCUUUUGUGGGUGGGUUGACGGUAGCUGGAUAAGAAGCGCCGGCUAACUACGUG